GCCCUGCUCGGCCCCCGCCCGCCCGGCACUGACGGAGCCGGGCCGCCAUGAGCGCCAACCCGCAGUGGGACAUCAGCAGGGCGCUGGGGGUGGCCAGGCUGUUCCACCUGGUGUGCGGGGUCCGGGACGCCUGCGUGACCCCGUUCCUGACCCUCUACCUGAGGCAGCUGGGCCUGGCCGCGCCCUGGGUGGGCGUCCUGAUGGGGGCCAAGCACCUGGUCGCCGCCUUCUGGGCCCCCUCCUGGGCCUUCCUGGCCAAAAGCUACCGGAAAAGGAGGGCGCUUCUGACGGGCUCGCUGCUCGGCUCGGCGGGGGCCAGCCUGCUGAUGGCGCUGGUGCCGCCGCCGGACGAGGCUCCCGCAGACCCUUCCUGCAACGCCAGCCGCGGCGCCCGCCCCAGCGCCCUGCCCCCCGCGGCCGCCUCGAUCCCCCGGGCGGUGGGCGCCCCUGGCCUCAGGCGCGCACCUGCUGGAGGUGUCCACGCACCGGCCGGCCGUCCAGCCGGCUACACCGUGGGCUACGCCGUGGGCUCCGUGGAGGGAGCCGGGACCGCAGCCCGAGUUCUCCCUCCCGUGGCUUCAGGGCUGAGGGACACCGCUAGGGCAGGUGCUUUUAAGGUGGGCAGGACCGCACCCCCUCUGCUUGCUGGGGGCACAGCCCCGGGAAGUCCAGCCAACUUGUCAGCAGCCAAGGGGGACGCGGGGGCCCUGGGCCUCUCCUUGGAAGGGCUGCGGUGGACCUUCCUCCUCUCCCUGGGGUCCGUGGUGUUCUGGGAGCUGCUGACGGCCCCCCUGGAGCAGGUGGCCGACGACAGCCUCUACGAGUACCUGGAUUUCGUGGAUGCCACCGACCGCUACGGAAGCCUGUGGAUCUGGAGGCUGCUGGGCCUGUCGGCAGGUGUGUGCGGCAUCGCAGCCGCCGUGGGACAGCUGGAAUGCUUCGUGGCGACAAGUGGCCCACGGGGCGUGUUGCACUUCUACGGCUACUCGGUGGUCAGCACCGUGGCUUUACUGGUGAGCAUUGCCUUUCCUGUCCCCAUCUGCAGGCGACAGGAGCCCAGCUACAAAACCAUCAAGGCGCUGUCGCUGGUAGGAGGCGACCCCCGCCUCAUUCUCCUCACCUUCACCGUGUUUCUCGUAGGAGCCGCCACCAGCGCGGUGCAGAACUUUCUCUUUUGGCACAUGAAAGACCACGGGAGCAGCGAGCUGGUCAUGGGCUUCUCGGUGGCCCUGGGCUUGCUGGGGGAAAUCCUAUUGCAUCCGUUCAAAACGACGUUGCUUAGGAAACUGUCGAGGAUGGGCACGGUGGGGCUGGGCCUGGGCUGCCUGGCGGCCCAGCUGCUCUACUACUCGUUCCUCUGGAGCUGGUGGGCCGCCCUCCCGGCCCAGAUCUUGAGCGCCGUCAGCAACGGGGCUCUGUGGUGGGCAGUCAAGGCCUCAGUGGAGGACCUGGCCACUCCCAGGACAGAGAGACCUCUGGGUGCCAUGUUCCGAGGCCACAUUUUCGGGGGCGGGUCCAGCCUGGGCAGCUUCGUGGGGGGCUUCGUGGUGAUGUACUUCAGCCUGGCUGUGCUGUAUCGGGCCUGCUGCGUGCUCCUGCUGCUCUGGCUGGCCUUGCUCCUAUCCAUCCAGUCCAGACUGCCCCAAGAGCAGAAAAUAAACUACUCGAAACUGCUGGUCAUGGAGGCCAGUGACACGAGCGACUCUGAGCAGGGGACAGAACGGGACUGGCUUGUGAAGGCCAUGAGGGAGGAGUACUCAGAAUAGAUGGGCAGACAGAAGAUCGAGAUGUGCUGAUCUGGGAAGGCGUGGAUGGGGCUAGUGCUGGGCAAAAACUCACCUGCUGAGGACGAAUGCCGAGUCCUGCCUGGGGCUGCAGGGCAGCCUGGAGAGAGAGAAAGCAAGUCUGCGCAGAAGCCCUACGGGAUCGUCUCAUUGCAUGAUUUUCUUUACUUUUACGGUUUCCAAGAGGUGACUGGUACCGAUUCUGGUGCUAUUGGUUUCAGCCACGGCUGGAGUGCUCAAAUUACACCGGCAGUGCCAGGAAGA
Molecule: RNA transcript, 2048 nt
Organism: Canis lupus familiaris (dog)
Lineage: Eukaryota; Metazoa; Chordata; Mammalia; Carnivora; Canidae
Gene: MFSD6L
Gene name: major facilitator superfamily domain containing 6 like
Exons: 2
Source: RefSeq, a predicted model, not a curated record